AUUGAACGCUGGCGGCGUGCCUAAUACAUGCAAGUCGAACGAGUGGCGGACGGGUGAGUAACGCAUCGGCACGUACCGAGUAAUGGGGGAUAACUGUCCGAAAGGACCGCUAAUACCGCAUAUUAUUCGAGCGGCCGAUGUCUGAUUAGCUGGUUGGCGGGGUAAAGGCCCACCAAGGCGACGAUCAGUAGCGGGUCUGAGAGGAUGAUCCGCCACACUGGGACUGAGACACGGCCCAGACUCCUACGGGAGGCAGCAGUGGGGAAUUUUGGACAAUGGGCGCAAGCCUGAUCCAGCCAUGCCGCGUGUCUGAAGAAGGCCUUCGGGUUGUAAAGGACUUUUGUCAGGGAAGCGUUACCAACAGAAUAAGCACCGGCUAACUUCGUGCCAGCAGCCGCGGUAAUAC
This 406-nucleotide ribosomal RNA is filed under the name uncultured bacterium. Its description in RNAcentral is "partial 16S ribosomal RNA". It matches the Rfam family "Bacterial small subunit ribosomal RNA", at positions 30 to 526 of the family's 1533-position model. The record is from RNAcentral.